RNAcentral lists this transfer RNA (71 nucleotides) under Occidozyga martensii (round-tongued floating frog). Its description in RNAcentral is "tRNA-Leu". Lineage: Eukaryota; Metazoa; Chordata; Amphibia; Anura; Dicroglossidae. The record is from RNAcentral.
GCUUUUAAUGGAUAAUAGUUAUCCUCUGGUCUUAGGCGCCAGCCUCCUUGGUGCAAGUCCAAGUAAAAGCU